CCGAUGGAAAAGGUACACAUUAUCUCUCUCUCAACUUUUACCAAAUUCUGUUUUUUCUCUCUAGACUCUAAAACCGGUACCUCUGGUCAUAAGCGGUUUUCAAAGGCGGUCUUAUCUUUUAUUUUUUUUAUUUAUUUCGGUUGAAUCUUUCAACAAUCAUAGUAGUAAAAAUUUCAUACUCAUUGAAUAAAUCUAUAACUAAGAUAUACAUGAUCCAAUAAGUAUAAAUUUCUUUUAAUUACUUAAGUUCAAGCAUAAAACAACUAGACCACUAUAAAAAUUUCACCAC
Molecule: long non-coding RNA, 289 nt
Filed under: Sorghum bicolor (sorghum)
Lineage: Eukaryota; Viridiplantae; Streptophyta; Magnoliopsida; Poales; Poaceae
Description: long non-coding RNA (SBIC_LNC016984)
Source: RNAcentral